RNAcentral lists this ribosomal RNA (478 nucleotides) under uncultured bacterium. RNAcentral's name for it is "partial 16S ribosomal RNA". It matches the Rfam family "Bacterial small subunit ribosomal RNA", at positions 28 to 523 of the family's 1533-position model. The record is from RNAcentral.
GACGAACGCUGGCGGCGUGCUUAACACAUGCAAGUCGAACGGUAAGGCCCUUCGGGGUACACGAGUGGCGAACGGGUGAGUAACACGUGGGUGAUCUGCCCUGCACUUCGGGAUAAGCCUGGGAAACUGGGUCUAAUACCGGAUAGGACCACUGCCUGCAUGGGUGGUGGUGGAAAGCUUUUGCGGUGUGGGAUGGGCCCGCGGCCUAUCAGCUUGUGGGUGGGGUGAGGGCCUACCAAGGCGACGACGGGUAGCCGGCCUGGGAGGGUGACCGGCCUCACUGGGACGGAGAUACGGCCCAGACUCCUACGGGUGCCAGCAGUGGGUAAUAUUGCAAAAUGGGCGCAAGCCUGAUGCAGCGACGCCGCGUGAGGGAUGACGGCCUUCGGGUUGUAAACCUCUUUCAGCACCGACGAAGCGCAAGUGACGGUAGGUGCAGAAGAAGGACCGGCCAACUACGUGCCAGCCGCCGCCGUAA